GCUCAUUUGCUCUGCUUUCCGCCGAAGUGCAACCGCCAGAGCUCGCUACCGAUUCCGCCGCCGUCAAGCCAUCUCCACCCAAUUCCUCUCACCCGCCGUGCCGUGACACCCUUCCGAGAACCCCCAUCCACUCCUCGCCCGACGCCAGCAACCACAGCGCCGCCGUGACCUCUUCCCUGUUCCGCCGCCCGCCAUCAACACCCCACGAUUCAGAGCCGCCGGAAGUGAAGUACGUGGAGAUUCCGUCCGAGCCAACCCUAGAAGGCGAGGACGUGAUCGUGGUGGAGCAAGUUCCUGAAGGUACCCCGGAACUCGUCGUUGAGACCGCUUACCCUGAGGAGCAGCAAGGCAAGCCUCGGUGCAUUAAUUGUAUUUAACCUUGCUAAUUCGAGUCCAAAUUGUUAUAUUUCAUGAUUGUGCAUUAAGUCUAGGAGUUGAGUGGAGUCCUUUUAAGCAUUCAUAGCUUCCUUGUUUUAAGGAUAUCUUUGCCACCUGUUUAGAAAGAAUAGAAGGUUAAGUCAUAGAAGGUUAAGUCUAAUCUGCUAGUGCCGCAGAAGUCAGGUAAUUCCCUGUUACUUGCAUAAGGACAACAUCUAAAAUUUGUUAGAUUGCAAAACAAGUUGUUUAAUGAAGGACCGGGUAAGACAUUGGCCUCAUGAUAAAAGGUGAUGUUGGAUGUUGAUGAAGAAGUUGAAAGUUUGGUCCUACCUGGAUAAUGGAUCUAAGGCCCAUUUGAUUGGUGGCCUUUAGGUCAAGCUUUGAACGUACUAAUUGCAUACCGGUAUGUGGGACUUGGUAAACUGACGUACUUCUAAGGUGCCAAAGUUUGAACUGUGACUCGCCAUGCUUGACGUGGACUGGUAGGCGGGGUCAUGGGCAUUAACUCAUGGGACAUUUGACCGGACAAUGAUGUACAUGAGGACAUGACCUUGGGCUAUGCGAGCUCAAUUCAGGCGACGGAAGCCAAGGAGAGAAAGUUGCCACGUGCAAUCUGACAGGUUGCACACGUGUCGUGUGAUUAGCUCCAUCUCCUGCAGGAUGUAAUCGGUUCGAAUUGCCGCACUUCUCAGUUGAAGAAGGUCAUUAGAUGGCCUAAGCUUGAAGAAGGACUCCAGAAGACGAGAAAUACGUUGUGGGCACGACGUGUUUCUUUUUAGUCUCGUUCGUUUGAAUAAGCUUUAUAAUGUUACCGUCCCAGACUUUAAGCGAAGUGGUUUGUUUUUAAACACUCUUAGGUACUGGUAUUAUAUGUUAAGGCAACUCUCUUAUGGUUUGUAAUAAUCCGCUGCUGUAAAUUAUUUAUUGAAAGCUGUAAUGUCUGUAACAAGAUCCUGCGUGUGAGAUCUUGGAUGU
Long non-coding RNA from Setaria italica (foxtail millet), 1353 nucleotides. RefSeq lists it as uncharacterized. NCBI's taxonomy places the organism in Eukaryota, Viridiplantae, Streptophyta, Magnoliopsida, Poales, Poaceae. The record is from RefSeq and is a predicted model, not a curated record. The transcript has 3 exons.